RNAcentral lists this ribosomal RNA (2923 nucleotides) under Lactiplantibacillus pentosus. Its description in RNAcentral is "bacterial LSU rRNA". It matches the Rfam family "Bacterial large subunit ribosomal RNA". The record is from RNAcentral. Lineage: Bacteria; Bacillati; Bacillota; Bacilli; Lactobacillales; Lactobacillaceae.
AGGUUAAGUUAACAAGGGCGCAUGGUGAAUGCCUUGGCACUAGGAACCGAUGAAGGACGGGACUAACACCGAUAUGCUUCGGGGAGCUGUACGUAAGCUAUGAUCCGGAGAUUUCCGAAUGGGGCAACCCAGCAGUUUUAAUCAACUGUUACCACUAGAUGAAUUCAUAGUCUAGUUGGAGGUAAACGCUGUGAACUGAAACAUCUCAUUAGCAGCAGGAAUAUAAAGAAAUUUCGAUUCCCUAAGUAGCGGCGAGCGAACGGGGAACAGCCCAAACCAAAGUGCUUGCACUUUGGGGUUGUAGGACUGAACAUUUGAGUUACCAAAGAACUUGAUAGUCGAAGGAUUUGGGAAAAUCCGCCAUAGAUGGUGAUAGCCCAGUAGAUUAAAUCAAAUUCUCUCAGUUCAGGAUCCUGAGUACGGCGGAACACGUGAAAUUCCGUCGGAAUCCGGGAGGACCAUCUCCCAAGGCUAAAUACUACCUAGUGACCGAUAGUGAACCAGUACCGUGAGGGAAAGGUGAAAAGCACCCCGGGAGGGGAGUGAAAUAGUUCCUGAAACCAUGUGCCUACAAUAAGUCAGAGCGCGUUAAUGCGUGAUGGCGUGCCUUUUGUAGAAUGAACCGGCGAGUUAUGAUCCCGUGCAAGGUUAAGACUAAAAAGUCGGAGCCGUAGCGAAAGCGAGUCUGAAAUGGGCGAUUUGAGUACGAGGUUAUAGACCCGAAACCAGGUGACCUAUCCAUGUCCAGGUUGAAGGUGCGGUAAAACGCACUGGAGGACCGAACCCGUGUAAGUUGAAAAUUGCUGGGAUGAGGUGUGGAUAGCGGUGAAAUUCCAAACGAACUUGGAGAUAGCUGGUUCUCUCCGAAAUAGCUUUAGGGCUAGCCUCGGAUUAAGGAUCAUGGAGGUAGAGCACUAUUUGGACUAGGGGCCCGUCUUGGGUUACUGAAUUCAGAUAAACUCCGAAUGCCAUUGAUUCAUGUCCGGGAGUCAGACGAUGAGUGAUAAGAUCCACCGUCGAAAGGGGAACAGCCCAGACCAUCAGUUAAGGUCCCUAAAUGUAUGCUAAGUGGAAAAGGAUGUGGAGUUGCAUAGACAACUAGGAUGUUGGCUCAGAAGCAGCCACCAUUUAAAGAGUGCGUAAUAGCUCACUAGUCGAGUGAUCCUGCGCCGAAAAUGUACCGGGGCUAAGCAUACUACCGAAACCAUGGAUGCGACCAUUAGGUCGCGUGAUAGGAGAGCGUUCUAAGGGCGGUGAAGCAAGAUCGUGAGGACUUGUGGAGCGCUUAGAAGUGAGAAUGCCGGUAUGAGUAGCGAAAGAUAGGUGAGAAUCCUAUCCACCGAAUGACUAAGGUUUCCUGGGGAAGGCUCGUCCUCCCAGGGUUAGUCGGGACCUAAGUCGAGGCCGAGAGGCGUAGACGAUGGAUAACAGGUUGAGAUUCCUGUACUAGUUAAGUGCGUUUGAGCAAUGGAGGGACGCAGGAGGCUAAGAUGUGCAUUCUGUUGGAUUAGAAUGUCCAAGCAGUAAGUCUUGUGGAGAGUCAAAUGCUUUUCACUUUAAGGACAAGCUGUGAUGGGGAGCGAAAUUUAGUAGCGAAGCGUCUGAUGUCACACUGCCGAGAAAAGCUUCUAGUGAGUACUUAACUACCCGUACCGCAAACCGACACAGGUAGUCGAGGAGAGAAUCCUAAGGUGAGCGAGUGAACUCUCGUUAAGGAACUCGGCAAAAUGACCCCGUAACUUCGGGAGAAGGGGUGCUGAUCGCAAGAUCAGCCGCAGUGAAUAGGCCCAGGCGACUGUUUAUCAAAAACACAGGUCUCUGCAAAAUCGUAAGAUGACGUAUAGGGGCUGACGCCUGCCCGGUGCUGGAAGGUUAAAAGGAUGGGUUAGCUUCGGCGAAGCUCAGAAUUGAAGCCCCAGUAAACGGCGGCCGUAACUAUAACGGUCCUAAGGUAGCGAAAUUCCUUGUCGGGUAAGUUCCGACCCGCACGAAAGGCGUAACGAUCUGGGCACUGUCUCAACGAGAGACUCGGUGAAAUUAUAUUGUCCGUGAAGAUGCGGACUACCCGCGACAGGACGGAAAGACCCCAUGGAGCUUUACUGUAGCUUGAUAUUGAGUGUUUGUACAGCUUGUACAGGAUAGGUAGGAGCCAUAGAAACCGGAACGCUAGUUUCGGUGGAGGCGUUGGUGGGAUACUACCCUCGCUGUAUGACCACUCUAACCCGCACCACUAAUCGUGGUGGGAGACAGUGUCAGGUGGGCAGUUUGACUGGGGCGGUCGCCUCCUAAAAAGUAACGGAGGCGCCCAAAGGUUCCCUCAGAAUGGUUGGAAAUCAUUCGCAGAGUGUAAAGGCACAAGGGAGCUUGACUGCGAGACAGACAGGUCGAGCAGGGACGAAAGUCGGGCUUAGUGAUCCGGUGGUACCGUAUGGAAGGGCCAUCGCUCAACGGAUAAAAGCUACCCUGGGGAUAACAGGCUUAUCUCCCCCAAGAGUCCACAUCGACGGGGAGGUUUGGCACCUCGAUGUCGGCUCAUCGCAUCCUGGGGCUGUAGUCGGUCCCAAGGGUUGGGCUGUUCGCCCAUUAAAGCGGUACGCGAGCUGGGUUCAGAACGUCGUGAGACAGUUCGGUCCCUAUCCGUCGCGGGCGUAGGAAAUUUGAGAGGACCUGUCCUUAGUACGAGAGGACCGGGAUGGACAUACCUCUGGUGUACCAGUUGUGCCGCCAGGCGCAUCGCUGGGUAGCUACGUAUGGAUGUGAUAAACGCUGAAAGCAUCUAAGUGUGAAACACACCUCGAGAUGAGAUUUCCCAUUCCUUUAUGGAAGUAAGACCCCUGAAAGAUGAUCAGGUAGAUAGGUUAGAAGUGGCAGUGCGGUGACGCAUGAAGCGGACUAAUACUAAUCGGUCGAGGACUUAACCAAG